GCGGGCUUCUAUACAUGCAGUCGAGCGAAUGGAUUAAGAGCUUGCUCUUAUGAAGUUAGCGGCGGACGGGUGAGUAACACGUGGGUAACCUGCCCAUAAGACUGGGAUAACUCCGGGAAACCGGGGCUAAUACCGGAUAACAUUUUGAACUGCAUGGUUCGAAAUUGAAAGGCGGCUUCGGCUGUCACUUAUGGAUGGACCCGCGUCGCAUUAGCUAGUUGGUGAGGUAACGGCUCACCAAGGCAACGAUGCGUAGCCGACCUGAGAGGGUGAUCGGCCACACUGGGACUGAGACACGGCCCAGACUCCUACGGGAGGCAGCAGUAGGGAAUCUUCCGCAAUGGACGAAAGUCUGACGGAGCAACGCCGCGUGAGUGAUGAAGGCUUUCGGGUCGUAAAACUCUGUUGUUAGGGAAGAACAAGUGCUAGUUGAAUAAGCUGGCACCUUGACGGUACCUAACCAGAAAGCCACGGCUAACUACGUGCCAGCAGCCGCGGUAAUACGUAGGUGGCAAGCGUUAUCCGGAAUUAUUGGGCGUAAAGCGCGCGCAGGUGGUUUCUUAAGUCUGAUGUGAAAGCCCACGGCUCAACCGUGGAGGGUCAUUGGAAACUGGGAGACUUGAGUGCAGAAGAGGAAAGUGGAAUUCCAUGUGUAGCGGUGAAAUGCGUAGAGAUAUGGAGGAACACCAGUGGCGAAGGCGACUUUCUGGUCUGUAACUGACACUGAGGCGCGAAAGCGUGGGGAGCAAACAGGAUUA
RNAcentral lists this ribosomal RNA (758 nucleotides) under Bacillus cereus. RNAcentral describes it as "bacterial SSU rRNA". It matches the Rfam family "Bacterial small subunit ribosomal RNA", at positions 42 to 780 of the family's 1533-position model. The record is from RNAcentral. Lineage: Bacteria; Bacillati; Bacillota; Bacilli; Caryophanales; Bacillaceae.